AUCCCAUUUUUCCAAUCAAACACAAGAACGGAAACCAUUCCAUUUUGUAGCUUCAACCAAGCAUAGGAAUGAAACCAAUCUGUUCCACCAUGAAAUUCCAUUCCAUUUCAUUUGGUUCCUCGUCCAAACACACCCUUGGUUGUCUCUCUCCGCACCCACACACAUAUACAACCUAAUAAGGGUGGCGCAAAGGGCAAACUCUCGCGUUAGCCACGUCAGAUUAGCUACGAGACAAAGGGUUCGCUUCGUCGAGAAUAAACAGAAAAUUACAGAGAAAAGGAUUGGCCAGCGGCCCUCAGUCACCAUCCCUCGAUUCCUCUCCCUCUCCCUUGUCUACCCGCCGCCGCCGCGCCGCCCACGACCUCCCCAACCGCUGACGUUCCCACCCCCUACCUUCUCCUUGCCUCACCCCUCCCCCCUCGCACCAGAUCGAGCGGCAGGAUCCGGCACGCCCAUGGCGCUCUUUACCGUUCAGGACGCCAUGGACAAAGUGCUCUGGCCCUGGUGCUGCAUCCAUGGACAAGGAGGACAUCUCUCUCUGUCUCUCUGUGCUGAAUCAAGUUGCAGCUGCUGCAACCUCAAUGCCCCAGCAAGCAGCACCAACCCUAGCCCUUGCUUCAAUGACGACCCAGCAGGCAGGAGGUGCAGCACAGGCUCUACUGGCAAUAUUUGAUAGCCCUCUAACUAAGGCUGGGAGGUUACAAGAUGUUUAUGUAAUGUAAGAACUGAAAAGGGGAUGUUAUUUGAGGUCAAGCCGAAUGUUCGCUUGCUACGCACACCCAAACGUUUUUGUGGCUUGAUGUCACUGUUAUUGCAAAAGUUGAGCAUUACUGCUGUUGGGAAGCAUGAGAAGCUUCACCCGCAAAAACAAAAAGGGAAGCAUGAGAAGCUGCUUAAUCUUAUUAAAAAUCCUGUUACCCGGUAUCUACUUGUUGGCUCACGGAAGAUUGGCCUUUCAUAUAGCGCGGAUAAGUCAGUUAAACUGAAUGACUAUGUUGCCGAAUGCAGUGAUGAUGAAGCCCUUGUGUUUGUGGUUGGUGCCAUGGCUCAUGGAAAGAUUGACAAUGAAUACAUAGACGAGCACAUACGGAGACGAGGAGGUCGAGCAGUCAGUGGUGUCUUCGUCAUCGCCGGCUGCGCUGGUAUGUUGUUCUCUUUUCCCUGCUCCGCCGCGUAGGCCACUCCAGCACCACGGGAUACGAGUAUGGCGUUGCCAUGGCUGGGUUGAGGAUGAUCAGUUCAUCCCCAACGCGUCGCUGUGUGUCCAUCCGAUGAACAAGAGAGCUGUCAACAGAAGAAGCACGACUCAUAACCUCUUUGCAAGGAAGUGUGCGAGUAGUGAGAAAUUUUAAAUCAGUGAGCAAAAUUUCUCAUAUGUACUCACUGUAAGUGUUCACUACAUCUUUAACUGUUCAUAGAAAGGUGGUUAGAUCUGGCAUAAAUAGUAUUCAUUGCAAGAUUACAUGAAGUACUAAUAUUCCAAUAUGCCACAUUUCUUGCUUAAUGGUGCCCACUAAUAGGAAAUAAAGAGUAAUGUAUGUAGUAUUACUUGGUAGUGGUUUACUCUGCUUUUCCAGGAAAAUAGUGUUAUCUAUGUAUGUAUGUAUGUAUGUAUGUAUGUAUGUAUGUAUGUAUGUAUUACUUGGUAGUGGUUUACUCUGCUUUUCCAGGUUGCAAAAAGGCAAUACUUGUCUGUGCUACUUGCAGUUUACUCCGCUCAUUCUACGGGUACUAAUAGGACCCAUUAGUACAUUCAGGUGGAUGGCAAGAGGACUAGAGGAUGCCUCAGGCGAGGGUGUCCAGCAAGCACUGUUAAAGAUAUUCGAAGGAACUGUAAUUGCCCAUGCUGUUUAGAAGAGUGGGAGUUUUACAGUGUGCAGACGUGACUAAUCUGACAUAUUUUUCUGCUUCAUAGAUUCUGAACUCGCAUGUAUCAUAUUAUGUCUGUUUGUUUCUAAACAAGAACAAUUUCACAUUUGCAUUGUUAGGUGAUCAGUGUGCCAAGAAAAGAAGUCGAGAUAUCAUAUCCCAUGGUUAAUGUCGAGGUAAUUGUUUUUAGAACUUCUGAUUAGCACUGGCUGCUGAAACCUGCUACAUAGCCGUAGAUCAGUAACCUUUCAGCAGUCUAGCACCAAAAGUUCCAAAUUAUUUCAUGGUGCUAUGACUUUCAGUCUUCAUUCUAUAUGUGUUGAGGGACACAGGCAACUGAACAUCAAAGAUUGAUGCCCUUGUUUCACAAGCAGUUGGCCCUAGGUACUAAAUAUAUAUAUACUUUAAAUUUGUAAUAAACACCUUCCAUUACAAUGAUGAGUGGUGCAUACGCAAGCACUCUAUUGUUAGAUGCAUAUUAAUUUGUUUUUCCAGGUUGAUAUAAAAGUAUACUCUUAAUUUGUAGAUGCGCCUUCUCUGACGUGGGGAAGAUUUAUGUCAGAAACUUGCAUAGACAGAUCAUUGAUGGGUGCAUAUUAUUAUUGUACACACAAGCAACCUUAGUUGAAUAGUUCAUUGAUGGGUGGGGAGGGCAGGUCUGCAAGGUGUUGGGAAACCCUUUUCUUGAUGUGAACAAUAUGGUAUGGUAUUGUUCUUAAUUGUCAAUCAAUCCAGGAUUCAACCUUGUUUGCAAAUUCAAGUGUUUGGUUUGAACGAUGACACAAAUCCCAUGCAAGGAACAUGUUAAUAUAGUUUUGUGCAACAUAUAUUUUUCAUCAUAGCAAUGGAAAACUGACUCGUGUGCAAGUGCCCUUCUAAUUGGUGCUCUAUGUAUGUUCUCAUUUGGUUCAGGUUGAUUUUUGUGUAUUCCAAGUUCUACAACUAUCAAGUCCGUUAGAUUUUGGGGGUCUGUAAAUUUAUUUUGUUGCCCACUUGAUGAUUAUUUGAAACCUUUUGGUUGCCUAGUGUGGAUGAGAGAAGCAUGUAUGCCUGUAAUUCAUGAUAUUUAGCUGAUUUUAAAACUCUGUACGUGUACAGUGUACACUCAUGUAAUAGUUAUUUGUCUCUCAUCAUCGACUCCUUGAAAAAUGAUCAUCCGCUUGAAGUAACUAUUGUGACAAGUAUGGUAUGUACCAAGAUGUUUGUUUUCAUGCAAAUGCCAUAAUUGGAGCGAUGCACUUUGGUUAUACCUAUAUAAUGCCUUGAAUGCCACACAUUCAAGCUGUGCUGUUAUCAAUUGCAUGAGCCAUUGCUCACUAUUUUUCCACAUACCUAUGAGAGUUUAAUUCAGAAAGGGAAGAAGCCGGGUUACCUUCAAUUGUUGGGUACAUAGACAUUCAGUGCUAUCUGGCAUGUGAGUUUUAUUUUCCCUCUCCUCCUGUAUAAUUAAUAAUUUCUGUUCACUGUAUAUGAGACUUGUCCGCAAGUGCUAUUCAAUCCAUGGUUGCUAGCAGAUAUCGUGUGGUGAUUCAGGUUGGAUGUGUACUGAUGUUUGAAAAUAAAUCCUGAAUGUUGUAACUGGUGCUUGUAAUGGUAUUUCGUUUUCGUACUAUGCAAGCCUCAGGAUGCUAAUCAAAAUAACCUUCAUGCCAAUUGAAAUACAGGUCGAUGGAGCUAGCCAGUAACCUAAUAGGUGACUUCUUAAUGCCGGCUAUUGCUAGAUUCCUUCACUGCUGUUGGAAAAUGGAGCUUCAUAUUCUAUCUGAAAUUUUUUAGGGAUUACAUGAUCUACAAGCCAAAGACUCUGAAAUACACAAACAUGAUGAUGAUUAUGAUAGAGGUAGUACAGUGGCAAGCACCAAUCAGUGUGCGGCAAAAACAUAAAGCCGAGAAGCAACACCUGCUGAUGUUCUUUCUUAUGGGAUCAGCAAAUAACCUGCAAUGAAGGAUUCUAAGGAUAAUUUGCUUGCUAUGGUUGCCACUAAAAAUCCUCAUUGUAAUUAUCUUUCGGCUUAUAAUUAUGUCUGUCAUUUCUAAAGUCAUGUUGUGACUGCAAUGAAGGUCUCCUAUAAAUGUCAGUUGUCGUUUCUAA
Triticum dicoccoides is the source of this 3961-nucleotide long non-coding RNA. RefSeq lists it as uncharacterized. The transcript has 9 exons. The record is from RefSeq and is a predicted model, not a curated record. NCBI's taxonomy places the organism in Eukaryota, Viridiplantae, Streptophyta, Magnoliopsida, Poales, Poaceae.